UGUGUAUAUUGCCUGAUGGUAGGUUUUGAUGCAUGAUAGAUAUAGUUUUGUGAAAUACAUGUACUUUCUAACUGAAAAAUUAGUGAAAAUUCUUGCCGAUGAUUAUCGUAUUGUAAAAGAACAAUUACACAAAUGCGGCAGCCGAGCGUUACUCUGCUUUGAAAAUCACGUAGGCACACUUAAAACUGCGACACUGUGUUUCACCUUUCAAAACUGAUAAUUUUGGUUAAUCCAAUGGCAGUGUCACAUAAAAAAGGAGAAAUAUAUUUCAACCUUGCAAUGAUAUAGUAUAGCCAGCUCAUACAUGUCUAAUACUAGUCUAACGCAAAUGUCUAAUGGACAUAUGACUCAAAUCGUCCAUUGGACACAGACCUGCAUGGAAAAAAGUGGGAUCUCAGCCUUCUCAGGAUCCUGGGGAACAUUUGCCUUAGCAACAAGAUUGAGGAACAUUUUGAAUUUUUCACGCAUACUUUAAGGGAGAAUUUUAAGGAAUCAUAUUUAG
Paramuricea clavata is the source of this 502-nucleotide non-coding RNA. The record is from the annotation of a GenBank genome assembly. NCBI's taxonomy places the organism in Eukaryota, Metazoa, Cnidaria, Anthozoa, Malacalcyonacea, Plexauridae.